AAAAAAUUAGUUAAAAAAUAACAAUAUAAUGUCAUUAUAUAAUUAUUAUAAGAAUAAUAUUUUUUU
RNAcentral lists this transfer RNA (66 nucleotides) under Cerceris quinquefasciata. RNAcentral's name for it is "tRNA-Asp". The record is from RNAcentral. Lineage: Eukaryota; Metazoa; Arthropoda; Insecta; Hymenoptera; Crabronidae.